Ictalurus punctatus (channel catfish) is the source of this 315-nucleotide long non-coding RNA. The record is from Ensembl. NCBI's taxonomy places the organism in Eukaryota, Metazoa, Chordata, Actinopteri, Siluriformes, Ictaluridae.
CCUCGGCGCUUGCCGUAGUUUUGCACUUUCCGGGCUCGAGGGGAUUAAAGUUUCUGAGCGGGUCUCAGAGGGAAUUCUCAAUGAGCAGAACACACACACACACACACACACACCCCGCUGAUGGCAGGUCUAAAGUUCAGGAGGAGAUGGUAAUCAACACCUUCAUGCAGAUUGCAGCUUCUUGGUGAGGAGGGAGGAUUUAAAUCAGAUGAAUUCUCUAGAACGGCAGCUCUGACAGUAGCGCAGAUCGAUGUUCCUGGAGCUGGUGAGAAGAUGGCCACGCCGUGGACCCGUGUGAACAGUGCAGAGAAGAAA